ACUGCAAGUCGAACGGUUGUCUCUGGAUUCGUCUAGGGAUGACAGUGGCGAACGGGUGAGUAACACGUAGGUGACCUACCCCAGAGAGGGGAAUAACUGCUGGAAACGGUGGCUAAUACCCCGUAGGCUCGGCGGUUCGGUCCGUUGAGUAAAGCUCUGAAAGGGGCGCUUUGGGAGGGGCCUGCGGCCCAUCAGGUAGUUGGUAGGGUAAUGGCCUACCAAGCCGAUGACGGGUAGGGGGCGUGAGAGCGUGAUCCCCCACACUGGCACUGACACACGGGCCAGACUCCUACGGGAGGCAGCAGUGAGGAAUAUUGCCCAAUGGACGAAAGUCUGAGGCAGCAACGCCGCGUGGGCGAUGAAGGUCUUCGGAUCGUAAAGCCCUUUUCUGGGGGACGAGAAAGGACG
RNAcentral lists this ribosomal RNA (408 nucleotides) under uncultured bacterium. Its description in RNAcentral is "bacterial SSU rRNA". It matches the Rfam family "Bacterial small subunit ribosomal RNA", at positions 53 to 457 of the family's 1533-position model. The record is from RNAcentral.